This 253-nucleotide ribosomal RNA is filed under the name uncultured bacterium. RNAcentral describes it as "partial 16S ribosomal RNA". It matches the Rfam family "Bacterial small subunit ribosomal RNA", at positions 524 to 776 of the family's 1533-position model. The record is from RNAcentral.
GACGUAGGGCGCGAGCGUUGUCCGGAUUUAUUGGGCGUAAAGAGCUCGUAGGCGGCUUGUUGCGUCGGCUGUGAAAUCCCGUGGCUUAACUGCGGGCUUGCAGCUGAUACGGGCAGACUGGAGUACUGCAGGGGAGACUGGAAUUCCUGGUGUAGCGGUGGAAUGCGCAGAUAUCAGGAGGAACACCAGUGGCGAAGGCGGUGCUCUGGGCCGGAACUGACGCUGAGGAGCGAAAGCGUGGGGAGCAAACAGG